UGAACGCUGGCGGCGUGCUUAACACAUGCAAGUCGAACGGGAAUUACUUUAUUGAAACUUCGGUCGAUUUAAUUUAAUUCUAGUGGCGGACGGGUGAGUAACGCGUGGGUAACCUGCCUUAUACAGGGGGAUAACAGUCAGAAAUGGCUGCUAAUACCGCAUAAGCGCACAGAGCUGCAUGGCUCAGUGUGAAAAACUCCGGUGGUACAAGAUGGACCCGCGUCUGAUUAGCUGGUUGGUGAGGUAACGGCCCACCAAGGCGACGAUCAGUAGCCGGCCUGAGAGGGUGAACGGCCACAUUGGGACUGAGACACGGCCCAAACUCCUACGGGAGGCAGCAGUGGGGAAUAUUGCACAAUGGGGGAAACCCUGAUGCAGCAACGCCGCGUGAGUGAAGAAGUAUUUCGGUAUGUAAAGCUCUAUCAGCAGGAAAGAGAAUGACGGUACCUGACUAAGAAGCCCCGGCUAACUACGUGCCAGCAGCCGCGGUAAUACGUAGGGGGCAAGCGUUAUCCGGAUUUACUGGGUGUAAAGGGAGCGUAGACGGUUUUGCAAGUCUGAAGUGAAAGCCCGGGGCU
RNAcentral lists this ribosomal RNA (578 nucleotides) under uncultured Lachnospiraceae bacterium. Its description in RNAcentral is "bacterial SSU rRNA". It matches the Rfam family "Bacterial small subunit ribosomal RNA", at positions 30 to 609 of the family's 1533-position model. The record is from RNAcentral. Lineage: Bacteria; Bacillati; Bacillota; Clostridia; Lachnospirales; Lachnospiraceae.